Molecule: ribosomal RNA, 711 nt
Filed under: Xanthomonas campestris
Lineage: Bacteria; Pseudomonadati; Pseudomonadota; Gammaproteobacteria; Lysobacterales; Lysobacteraceae
Description: bacterial SSU rRNA
Rfam family: Bacterial small subunit ribosomal RNA
Source: RNAcentral
ACAGUAAGAGCUUGCUCUUAUGGGUGGCGAGUGGCGGACGGGUGAGGAAUACAUCGGAAUCUACUCUUUCGUGGGGGAUAACGUAGGGAAACUUACGCUAAUACCGCAAACGACCUACGGGUGAAAGCGGAGGACCUUCGGGCUUCGCGCGAUUGAAUGAGCCGAUGUCGGAUUAGCUAGUUGGCGGGGUAAAGGCCCACCAAGGCGACGAUCCGUAGCUGGUCUGAGAGGAUGAUCAGCCACACUGGAACUGAGACACGGUCCAGACUCCUACGGGAGGCAGCAGUGGGGAAUAUUGGACAAUGGGCGCAAGCCUGAUCCAGCCAUGCCGCGUGGGUGAAGAAGGCCUUCGGGUUGUAAAGCCCUUUUGUUGGGAAAGAAAAGCAGUCGGUUAAUACCCGAUUGUUCUGACGGUACCCAAAGAAUAAGCACCGGCUAACUUCGUGCCAGCAGCCGCGGUAAUACGAAGGGUGCAAGCGUUACUCGGAAUUACUGGGCGUAAAGCGUGCGUAGGUGGUGGUUUAAGUCUGUUGUGAAAGCCCUGGGCUCAACCUGGGAAUUGCAGUGGAUACUGGGUCACUAGAGUGUGGUAGAGGGUAGCGGAAUUCCCGGUGUAGCAGUGAAAUGCGUAGAGAUCGGGAGGAACAUCCGUGGCGAAGGCGGCUACCUGGACCAACACUGACACUGAGGCACGAAAGCGUGGGGAGCAAA